AGUGAACGCUGGCGGUAGGCCUAACACAUGCCAGUCGAACGGCAGCACAGGAGAGCUUGCUCUCUAGGUGGCGAGUGGCGGACGGGUGAGGAAUACAUCGGAAUCUGCCCAGUCGUGGGGGAUAACGUAGGGAUACUUACGCUAAUACCGCAUACGACCUUCGGGAGGAAGGGGGGGAGAGCAAGACCUCUCGCGAGUGGAUGAGCCGAUGUCGGAUUAGCUAGUUAGCGGGGUAAUGGCCCACCAAGGCGACGAUCCGUAGCUGGUCGGAGAGGAUGAUCAGCCACACUGGAACUGAGACACGGUCCAGACUCCUACGGGAGGCAGCAGUGGGGAAUAUUGGACAAUGGGCGCAAGCCUGAUCCAGCCAUACCGCGUGGGUGAAGAAGGCCUUCGGGUUGUAAAGCCCUUUUGUUGGGAAAGAAAUCUUUCAGGCUAAUACCCUGGGAGGAUGACGGUACCCAAAGAAUAAGCACCGGCUAACUUCGUG
RNAcentral lists this ribosomal RNA (490 nucleotides) under uncultured bacterium. Its description in RNAcentral is "partial 16S ribosomal RNA". It matches the Rfam family "Bacterial small subunit ribosomal RNA", at positions 29 to 507 of the family's 1533-position model. The record is from RNAcentral.